RNAcentral lists this ribosomal RNA (423 nucleotides) under uncultured bacterium. Its description in RNAcentral is "bacterial SSU rRNA". It matches the Rfam family "Bacterial small subunit ribosomal RNA", at positions 207 to 622 of the family's 1533-position model. The record is from RNAcentral.
AAGACCUUGCGCUUUUGGAGCGGCCGAUGCCUGAUUAGCUUGUUGGUAAGGUAAAAGCUUACCAAGGCUUCGAUCAGUAGCUGGUUUGAGAGGACGACCAGCCACACUGGGACUGAGACACGGCCCAGACUCCUACGGGAGGCAGCAGUGGGGAAUUUUGGACAAUGGGGGCAACCCUGAUCCAGCCAUGCCGCGUGAGUGAAGAAGGCCUUCGGGUUGUAAAGCUCUUUCAGCCGGAACGAAACGGUUACGGAUAACACCCGUGACUACUGACGGUACCGGAAGAAGAAGCACCGGCUAACUACGUGCCAGCAGCCGCGGUAAUACGUAGGGUGCGAGCGUUAAUCGGAAUUACUGGGCGUAAAGCGUGCGCAGGUGGUUUUGUAAGUCAGAUGUGAAAGCCCCGGGCUCAACCUGGGAACU